CCCGCUGAACUUAAGCAUAUCAAUAAGCGGAGGAAAAGAAACUAACAAGGAUUCCCCUAGUAACUGCGAGUGAAGCGGGAAAAGCUCAAAUUUAAAAUCUGGCGGUCUUUGGCCGUCCGAGUUGUAAUCUAGAGAAGUAAUGCCCGUGCUGGACCGUGUAUAAGUCUCCUGGGAUGGGGCGUCAUAGAGGGUGAGAAUCCCGUCUUUGACACGGACUACCAGUGCAUUGUGGUAUGCUCUCACAGAGUCGAGUUGUUUGGGAAUGCAGCUCAAAAUGGGUGGUAAAUUCCAUCUAAAGCUAAAUAUUGGCGAGAGACCGAUAGCGAACAAGUACCGUGAGGGAAAGAUGAAAAGAACUUUGGAAAGGGAGUUAAACAGUACGUGAAAUUGCUGAAAGGGAAACGCUUGAAGUCAGUCGCGUUGGCCAGGGAUCAUCCUUGCUUUUGCAUGGUGUACUUUCUGGUUGACGGGUCAGCAUCAAUUUUGACCGCUGGAAAAGGGCCUGGGGAAUGUGGCAGCUUCGGCUGUGUUAUAGCCCCUGGUCACAUACGGCGGUUGGGAUUGAGGAACUCAGCACGCCGCAAGGCCGGGUUUCGACCACGUUCGUGCUUAGGAUGCUGGCAUAAUGGCUUUAAGCGACCCGUCUUGAAACACGG
This 656-nucleotide ribosomal RNA is filed under the name uncultured fungus. Its description in RNAcentral is "eukaryotic LSU rRNA". It matches the Rfam family "Eukaryotic large subunit ribosomal RNA", at positions 24 to 664 of the family's 3401-position model. The record is from RNAcentral. Lineage: Eukaryota; Fungi.